GUGCCAGCAGCCGCGGUAAGACGUAGGAUGCGAGCGUUGUCCGGAUUUAUUGGGCGUAAAGAGUUCGUAGGUGGUUUGGUAAGUCUGGUGUUAAAGAUCAGGGCUCAACCCUGGGAGUGCACUGGAUACUGUCAGACUGGAGUGCAGUAGAGGCAAGUGGAAUUCCCAGUGUAGCGGUGAAAUGCGUAGAUAUUGGGAAGAACACCGGUGGCGUAAGCGACUUGCUGGGCUGUAACUGACGCUGAGGAACGAAAGCCAGGGGAGCGAAUGGGAUUAGAUACCCCAGUAGUCCUGGCCGUAAACGAUGGAUACUAGGCGUUGCGGGUAUCGACCCCUGCAGUGCCGUAGCAAAACGCGCUAAGUAUCCCGCCUGAGUAGUACGGCCGCAAGGUUGAAACUCAAAGGAAUUGGCGG
Molecule: ribosomal RNA, 414 nt
Filed under: uncultured bacterium
Lineage: Bacteria
Description: bacterial SSU rRNA
Rfam family: Bacterial small subunit ribosomal RNA
Source: RNAcentral